Molecule: long non-coding RNA, 177 nt
Organism: Pieris rapae (cabbage white)
Lineage: Eukaryota; Metazoa; Arthropoda; Insecta; Lepidoptera; Pieridae
Exons: 2
Source: RefSeq, a predicted model, not a curated record
AUCAUUUAAUGUAACCUUAUUUUUUGGAUUAAGCCCGAGUUGUUUUAAGCUGUCAGUUAAACAAUGAAUACAUGUGGGUAGUAGAAACCGUACUACCCACAUGUAUUAUGCAAUUAAUUUGAUAAGGUAGUAGUAGUAAAUAAAGCGUUUAUAAAUCUUUACGCAGUUGCACCAUUU